This is a long non-coding RNA of Homo sapiens (human), 559 nucleotides long. Lineage: Eukaryota; Metazoa; Chordata; Mammalia; Primates; Hominidae. The record is from Ensembl.
AAAAUGAGAGGCAGAUGAUCUCUAAUAGUCAGUCACUGAGUGUCUUCCAAGUGACAAUCAGUGUCACUUGGUUAAUGCAACACCAAGUUGCCUGAGGAACCUGUUUCUGACCCAGGCAACUAUGCAGGUUGUGAAGCCAGAGGGGAGUUUGAGCACCAAGUUCAAGAAGGCAGUCUUGCAAGACUUUCCUCGAAGCAGCUCCUACAGACUGGCUCUUUCACCUUAAACGCCAUAGUUUUGGAUACAGAACCUGAGAGAGAAGAGCAAGGAUUUGGACUGUGGCCUAGAGAGGGAAUUUGCAGCUCUCUUUCCCAAGGAAUGAAUCGCAGCCCCUCAGGCUGGAACAGGCAGGUGCUGCGAAAUCUGGCUGACAGGGCAGCGCUCGCCAUCGAAUGACUUCCAGGUGCUCCGGGGCACAGAGCUACAGCACCUGCUACAUGCGGUGGUGCCCGGGCCUUGGCAGGAGGAUGUGGCAGAUGCUGAAGAGUGUGCUGGUCGCUGUGGGCCCUUAAUGGACUGCUGGGCGUUCCACUACAAUGUGAGCAGCCAUGGUUGCCAA